CCCGACUGCGCAGCCGCGAUCCCGGAGGGAGCGCUCCAGGCCUGGCGCGCACCCGACCCCUUGCGCGUUCCGGCUCCGCGCGCCUGCCAGGCCGGGGCCGGCGGCGGAACAGCUUGGGACCCGAAACGCCUCGGCUUUUCUGCGGACCCGCGCCCGGCCGCUGCCGCCGGACGCUUGAAAAGAGGCAGAGUCUUGCUUUGUUGUCCAGGCUGGUCUUGAACUUCUGAGCUCAAGUGAUCCUCCCGCCUUGGCCUCCCAAAGUGCUGAGACUACAGGUA
This 278-nucleotide long non-coding RNA is filed under the name Pan troglodytes (chimpanzee). Its description in RNAcentral is "long non-coding RNA NONPTRT010053". Lineage: Eukaryota; Metazoa; Chordata; Mammalia; Primates; Hominidae. The record is from RNAcentral.